AUGCCCCCGAAGAAGCACCUGCACUUGUCGUCAGCUGGUCCCAACCAGGAAGACCACGUGGAGGAAGCUGCUCCAGGUGUCUCUACCUCUGGCACGGAAGGCAUGCUUGAUUCCGAGGAGGAGGUUGGCGACAGCAGCAGCAGUGGCGAGGACAACAAAGACGACGGUCGCAGCCAUUUGUCGCAGAUUGACGGUGCCGACAUGGACGACCCAUCCAAAGUGCACAUCUUUGUCAAGAAUCCCGCCGGCAGGAAAAUCUGUCUCAGGGGGGUCCACUUGUCAGACACCCUUUACACCAUCAAGGCAAAGAUCCAGGAGCGGUACCGCCUCAUCUUCGACGGGGUGCAGCUGGAAGACAACCGUACAUUGGCGGAUUACGGCAUCCAGCAUGAUUCCACGCUUGACCUCCAAGAAAAGAUGCAAAUCUUUGUGACAGAGACACUAGAAGGCAGGACCAUCACUCUCGAGGUCGACAGCCUAGACACCAUUGACAAUGUGAAGGCUAAGAUCGAAGACAUUGAGGGCUUUCCCAAGGUCCAGCAGUGCCUCAUCUUUGCUAACAAACAGCUGGAGGACGGCAAACUCACCUUGGCUGACCACAACAUUUGUAAAGGGUCCACUCUUCUCCUCACACUCCUCCCAUGCAGUCCAACUGUUGAGAUGAAAAUAUAUGUGAAGAUACUGCCAGGAAACACCAUCACCCUUGAGGUUGGGCGCUCGGACACUGUUGGCAGUGUGAAGGUGAAGCUCUACGAGCUGGACGGUAUGCCCCCUAGACAGCAACGCCUCAUCUUUGCUCGCAAGCAGCUUGAGGACCACCGCACCCUGGCGGACUACAACGUUCAGAAAGAAGCUACCUUUCAUCUGGUGGGACGUCUUUGUGGCUGUUGA
RNAcentral lists this ribosomal RNA (891 nucleotides) under Triticum aestivum (bread wheat). RNAcentral describes it as "partial small subunit ribosomal RNA". Lineage: Eukaryota; Viridiplantae; Streptophyta; Magnoliopsida; Poales; Poaceae. The record is from RNAcentral.